Molecule: long non-coding RNA, 1255 nt
Organism: Manis pentadactyla (Chinese pangolin)
Lineage: Eukaryota; Metazoa; Chordata; Mammalia; Pholidota; Manidae
Exons: 4
Source: RefSeq, a predicted model, not a curated record
GGGCUGCGGGCCGCCGGCUGUCGGCCCUGUCGCGCCUGGGGCGCGCUGGGUGGGACUCGCCGCUGUUCCCUGGCCGGCCCGGGGCGGCGAUGCGCAGCGCGCAACCGUGGGGGACCAAGGGAAGGCUGCCCCCAAGAUGUGCCAUUGUGACAUGCAGAUUAUUUUGGACUGACAACCAUCAAGACCCAAAAGACUCAGGAGAAUACUUUGACUUCCCUCCACCCCACAACUGCAUAAAAAGAAUUUAAAUAGAGGACCUGCUCCCGGAGGAGAGCUCUCACCUUAGGCAGAUGCAGCAACAGAAGCUUUUAGAAAGAGUCCUGUGAAAUCCCGAUGCCUGGGAAUGUCUGCUCUAGAAGAUGUUAAGAAGCAGUCAACAGCAGAGCCCCUGUUUGAGGGCAAUUAGGCAGGUGUCUUUAGUGGUGAUUUUGAGAUUACAGUAAAAAUUCCUGCUCAUAAAUAUCCUCUCUCCCACAAUGCCCAGCUGACGCUGAGCAGCCUUUGAUAAUAAGAUUGGUGCAUGAAAGGAGUACCCUUUUAUUUGAGCAAAAUGGUUGCAAGCUUUCUCUUUUAAAGAGUUUUGUCCAAAUGGUCACUCUUCGUGGUGCCUGGGCGAAUAAAGACUGGGAUCAAGGCAGCUAGACUUUCUGGGCAGGGGGUGGAGGAGAGGUGAGGAGAGAGAGGGGAGCAGGACCCUACCCAGGAGGGCCAGGGGUGUUUGAUUGGGGAAAUAGGGCUAUUGAGCAAGUGUUAAUAAUGGGCACACCCAGAGCAAUGUUGAACAAGCACAGAGAGAAGAUGCAGGAAUGUGGAGGUCAAAGUUCACCUGUUAAUCUACCUCAAAGAAGAAACCCAAAUCAAACACAAAAAAACAAAAAUCUCAUGAUAUCAUCAGAAACAGGCCAGUUUCCACAUGGAAGCGUCAGAUGAGCUGGUGGAAUUCUUAUAGUUUCUCUGUUUCAGGAAGAAUAGACUCAUGGGUGAUCCCUUUCUCAGUGUGUUCAUAUCAUUGUCUGGAGAUUAAAAUGACUGACAGGAUAAAUAUAGGUAAUUAAAAUCCUUCCCUUACCAUAUUUCACAAUACUCAGCCCUACCCAACAGCAUCUACUGGGUACCUUACAACUACAAAAAGACUAUGACUGUAAAAAAACAUAGAUCACAAAGUGGAAGACACAGUUAAGCAUGUACCAUGACCCUAGAAAGGGCUUGGUGUGUGAUGGAACUCAUUUUUAUUAUCAGCUUGGUGAGUCAUAAA